GGCCUGAUGCCACGUCUCCGGUAGCCGCAAGCCUUGACCGGAGAUGAUACAUUGUGCCGACAUAGAUUUUCCUAUUUGAUAGGAACACUGCCGGUACGCAGAACCGUUUUUUGUGAUUACACUU
Molecule: small nucleolar RNA, 124 nt
Filed under: Triticum aestivum (bread wheat)
Lineage: Eukaryota; Viridiplantae; Streptophyta; Magnoliopsida; Poales; Poaceae
Also listed under: 1 other name
Description: Small nucleolar RNA snoR2/U65
Rfam family: Small nucleolar RNA snoR2/U65
Source: Rfam by way of RNAcentral